This 648-nucleotide ribosomal RNA is filed under the name uncultured bacterium. RNAcentral describes it as "bacterial SSU rRNA". It matches the Rfam family "Bacterial small subunit ribosomal RNA", at positions 60 to 737 of the family's 1533-position model. The record is from RNAcentral.
AGUUGAGCGAUUUACUUCGGUAAGAGCGGCGGACGGGUGAGUAACGCGUGGGUAACCUACCCUGUACACACGGAUAACAUACCGAAAGGUAUGCUAAUACGGGAUAAUAUAUUUGAGAGGCAUCUCUUGAAUAUCAAAGGUGAGCCAGUACAGGAUGGACCCGCGUCUGAUUAGCUAGUUGGUAAGGUAACGGCUUACCAAGGCGACGAUCAGUAGCCGACCUGAGAGGGUGAUCGGCCACAUUGGAACUGAGACACGGUCCAAACUCCUACGGGAGGCAGCAGUGGGGAAUAUUGCACAAUGGGCGAAAGCCUGAUGCAGCAACGCCGCGUGAGUGAUGAAGGCCUUCGGGUCGUAAAACUCUGUCCCCAAGGAAGAUAAUGACGGUACUUGAGGAGGAAGCCCCGGCUAACUACGUGCCAGCAGCCGCGGUAAUACGUAGGGGGCUAGCGUUAUCCGGAUUUACUGGGCGUAAAGGGUGCGUAGGCGGUCUUUCAAGUCAGGAGUGAAAGGCUACGGCUCAACCGUAGUAAGCUCUUGAAACUGGGAGACUUGAGUGCAGGAGAGGAGAGUGGAAUUCCUAGUGUAGCGGUGAAAUGCGUAGAUAUUAGGAGGAACACCAGUUGCGAAGGCGGCUCUCUGGACUGU